UACGGAGGAUGCGAGCGUUAUCCGGAUUUAUUGGGCUUAAAGGGUGCGUAGGCGGACGCUUAAGUCAGCGGUAAAAUUGCGGGGCUCAACCUCGUCGAGCCGUUGAAACUGGGUGCCUUGAGUGGGCGAGAAGUACGCGGAAUGCGUGGUGUAGCGGUGAAAUGCAUAGAUAUCACGCAGAACUCCGAUUGCGAAGGCAGCGUACCGGCGCCCAACUGACGCUGAAGCACGAAGGCGUGGGUAUCGAACAGG
This 252-nucleotide ribosomal RNA is filed under the name uncultured bacterium. RNAcentral describes it as "partial 16S ribosomal RNA". It matches the Rfam family "Bacterial small subunit ribosomal RNA", at positions 524 to 776 of the family's 1533-position model. The record is from RNAcentral.